AUUGAACGCUGGCGGCAUGCUUUACACAUGCAAGUCGAACGGCAGCGCGGGCUUCGGCCUGGCGGCGAGUGGCGAACGGGUGAGUAAUGCAUCGGAACGUGCCCAGUAGUGGGGGAUAGCCCGGCGAAAGCCGGAUUAAUACCGCAUACGACCUGAGGGUGAAAGCGGGGGACCGAAAGGCCUCGCGCUAUUGGAGCGGCCGAUGUCGGAUUAGCUAGUUGGUGGGGUAAAGGCUUACCAAGGCGACGAUCCGUAGCUGGUCUGAGAGGACGACCAGCCACACUGGGACUGAGACACGGCCCAGACUCCCACGGGAGGCAGCAGUGGGGAAUUUUGGACAAUGGGGGCAACCCUGAUCCAGCCAUGCCGCGUGCGGGAAGAAGGCCUUCGGGUUGUAAACCGCUUUUGUUCGGGAAGAAAUCCUCUGGGCUAAUACCCCGGGGGGAUGACGGUACCGGAAGAAUAAGCACCGGCUAACUACGUG
Molecule: ribosomal RNA, 484 nt
Filed under: uncultured bacterium
Lineage: Bacteria
Description: partial 16S ribosomal RNA
Rfam family: Bacterial small subunit ribosomal RNA
Source: RNAcentral